CCUACGGGUGGCUGCAGUGGGGAAUAUUGCACAAUGGGGGAAACUCUGAUGCAGCGACGCCGCGUGAGUGAAGAAGUAAUUCGUUAUGUAAAGCUCUAUCAGCAGGGAAGAAAAUGACGGUACUUGAGUAAGAAGCCGCGGCUAACUACGUGCCAGCAGCCGCGGUAAUACGUCGGAGGCAAGCGUUAUCCGGAUUGACUGGGUGUAAGGGGAGCGUAGACGGUAGUGCAAGUCUGGAGUGAAAGGCGGAGGCUCAACCCCCGAACUGCUCUGGAAACUGUUCGCCUGGAGUGCAGGAGAGGUAAGUGGAAUUCCUAGUGUAGCGGUGGAAUGCGUAGAUAUUAGGAGGAACACCAGUGGCGAAGGCGGCUUACUGGACUGUAACUGACGUUGAGGCUCGAAAGCGUGGGGAGCAAACAGGAUUAGAUACCCGAGUAGUC
This 440-nucleotide ribosomal RNA is filed under the name uncultured bacterium. Its description in RNAcentral is "partial 16S ribosomal RNA". It matches the Rfam family "Bacterial small subunit ribosomal RNA", at positions 338 to 795 of the family's 1533-position model. The record is from RNAcentral.